GCUGGGCAUGGUGGUGCGUGCCUGUAAUCCCAGCUACUUAGGAGGCUAACGCAGAAGAAUCACUUGAGCCCAGGAGGCGGGGGUUGCAGUGAGCCGAGAUCACGCCAUUGCACUCCAGCCUGGGCUACAGAGUGAGACUCUGUCUCAA
Molecule: unclassified non-coding RNA, 148 nt
Organism: Pongo abelii (Sumatran orangutan)
Lineage: Eukaryota; Metazoa; Chordata; Mammalia; Primates; Hominidae
Rfam family: Metazoan signal recognition particle RNA
About the family: The signal recognition particle (SRP) is a universally conserved ribonucleoprotein.
Source: Ensembl